AUUUAAUUCAUUUCUACACAGCACUGACUUCUAGACUGGUUUCUUCAAGUCACCUCUCCUAAGGACCAAGUAUAAACCGAAUAUCUCUGCUUCAGCAUCUUCUGGGCACUCAAGACACGGCAUGGAUGAAACGGAACUCAUUACCUUCCUCUUCCUACCCCUCCAAACCCCUCUCAUUGGCCAGCUACUAUUCCACCUAGUCUCUGCGCAGGUUCCUGCCUUGAAUUCCUGCCCUGACUUCCUUCGAGGGACCGGGACCCGUGAGUUUCCACACAGUCUCUCAAUGAAACCCAGAGCUUACUGAUCGGCUAGACUGGCUGGCGAGCGAUCCUAGGAUCACAGACCUGCUGCCACGCCAGUCCAAACUCGGGUUCUCAUGCUUGAAAACAAGCACCUCACCCAUGACGCCAUCUCCACAGCCCGGUCGUUACUUCCGUUUUGUUUUGUAUUGUCCUAGCCAGCCUUAAACUCACUGUCCUCCUGCCUCGCCUUUCCAAGUAUGGGGAUUACAAGAAUCUGCCACCACACCUUGCUCUCCAUCACUAGCUUUAGAAAGGGGAGGGAGUCUUAUCAGUACAACUUACAAUAAAAUAUCCAAAUUUUAAAUGGAAAGCUUGACUGAUUUUUUAAUUAUCCUAUUAUCCACCGAUGUAGCCACUAC
Non-coding RNA from Peromyscus maniculatus bairdii (prairie deer mouse), 661 nucleotides. The record is from RefSeq and is a predicted model, not a curated record. NCBI's taxonomy places the organism in Eukaryota, Metazoa, Chordata, Mammalia, Rodentia, Cricetidae.